Molecule: long non-coding RNA, 3692 nt
Filed under: Pan troglodytes (chimpanzee)
Lineage: Eukaryota; Metazoa; Chordata; Mammalia; Primates; Hominidae
Description: long non-coding RNA NONPTRT006695
Source: RNAcentral
CUCUUUCCCCAAGAAUCAUCAAAAGAGGGGAAAUCACAUAAAGACUGGGCAGAUGGUGGGUGCAGAUUUAGCUGAAGAGUUCAGAUCUUUGAGAAGGAGGUGCAUUCAUGACAACCAAGGUUAGAUGAUGUAUUGAGAUGGGCCUAUCCUUUGGGCCUCUUUCAGCAUAAGCUUUCAAGCAUUGCUUUUAGGGGAGGGGCCACUAUGAGUCUUAAGUCAUAAACGGGGAUAAAGGAAGGAAAUAAAGAUUGUAAAAGGAGAGGAGGUUAAUAGAGGUGUAUAUAGAGUAGGAACCCCAACAGUUAAGAUCCCAGGUACCCACCCCUAUGAAAUUUACGCAUGAGCCCUUGAAGGAAGAGGGUGACCAGUGGGACUUAUGAAUGGGAAUAACUCCUCAUGACCACCUGGUAUUUCUCCGCGAGGUUUUUUGCUGUUGGAGACUGACUCCUAGGUGGGAGCAGCUGCUAUGGUCAUUACUCAGCUUCAACCCAAGGACCCAGAUGCUUGGUUAUUGGUGAUCCUGCUUUAAGUCUUAGAUGAAUGAUUUGAUGUCUGUAAAAUUGUACCUUCCUUUUAAACUUAAUUUUUAUCUUACAGCAGCAGCCAGUAAGGAGGAGAAGGGGAGAGAGCUCAUUCGAUAUUAACAACAUUGUCAUCCCAAUGUCUGUUGCUGCAACAACUCGCGUAGAGAAACUGCAAUACAAGGAAAUCCUUACGCCCAGCUGGCGGGAGGUUGAUCUUCAGUCUCUGAAGGGGAGUCCUGAUGAGGAGAAUGAGGAGAUUGAGGACCUAUCCGACGCAGCCUUCGCCGCCCUGCAUGCCAAAUGUGAGGAGAUGGAGAGGGCACGGUGGCUGUGGACCACGAGUGUGCCACCCCAGCGGCGGGGCAGCAGGUGAUGGGGCAGGCUUGGGUCCCCAGGGCCUGUGGAGAGAGGGUGGACAGGGAGUUUGGGCCCUACUUGAGUCCAUGGAAUUGCUACUGCCUCUUGGUUGCUCAUCAUACUCAUCUACUGGCAGUGGCAAAGAGCUCAGAAUUUCCUUGGUGUUUGUUGGAACUAGUGGAGAUAUAUGGAACUAGUGGAGAUAUAAGGAGCCAAGUGCUAGAUCCUUGCUGAGAAGUCACUAUUUAAUUCGGAAUUCCCAUGAUCUGUGGCAUUUGGAAGACAGUUGGGGGGGUCAUGGUGAUUCAACCCGGGGAGCUUGGAAGGCCUCGCUGCAAGUUAACCUUCCUUUGGACAGUGGCUUUGUGAUGCCACUUGAAGAAACUGCCCCCCCUUAACGUCCAUCACUACCCUGUCUCCAUUUAUUGUUAACAGUGGCAGAAACCCUCGGGAUUCUCAAGUAGAAAGUUUUGGGAGCUCUUACUUUUACUUUUUUUUCUUUGACUACAGUUUUCAAAGUCUACACGAAUCUCCCUAACCUCCUGAAUUCACUAGGCACUUUGCUAUGGACUCACCUGGCAUUGUUCAGCCAUGCUUUUUUCUUGGGAUGGUAAAUGUUGUAUACCUACCCCUCCAGAGAAUCGUGGGAAGAAACGGGAGUUGCUGGAUCCUAAGGAAAAUCUGUUGGUCUUUGUUUGCCUCAACUCCUCCAGUGGGGAUGCUUUUUUCAUGCCCUCUACCCCCAUAAGUAAACAUUUCCCAGGCACUCAGAUUUGCAUUCCUUGGUGUGCAGGUCCUACAGGUCAUCAGACGGCCGGACAACCCCCCAGCUGGGCAGUGCCAACCCCUCCACCCCCCAGCCUGCCUCCCCUGAUGUCAGCAGUAGCCACUCUUUGUCAGAAUACUCCCAUGGUCAGUCCCCUAGGAGCCCCAUUAGCCCGGAACUGCACUCAGCACCCCUCACCCCUGUGGCUCGGGACACUCCGCGACACUUAGCCAGUGAGGAUACCCGUUGUUCCACACCAGAGCUGGGGCUGGAUGAACAGUCUGUCCAGCCCUGGGAGCGGCGGACCUUCCCCCUGGCGCACAGUCCCCAGGCGGAGUGUGAGGACCAGCUGGAUGCACAGGAGCGAGCAGCCCGCUGCACUCGACGCACCUCAGGCAGCAAGACUGGCCGGGAGACAGAGGCAGCGCCCACCUCGCCUCCCACUGUCCCCCUCAAGAGUCGGCAUCUGGUGGCAGCAGCCACAGCUCAGCGCCCGACUCACAGAUGAGCGGGAGACAGCCAUCUAAACAGACUCACUAACUAUUGGCAUUAAAGCUUCAGAAAUCUCUGCGUUUGAUAUUCAAACAUCAUAUGCCGGAAAUUUUCACAGUUUUUAGUGAACUUAAGGAAUUUAGAUCCUACUUUGGUAUUUUUUUUUCUUGUUUUAAUUUUUGUUUUGUUUUUGUUUCCAUGUUUUCUUGUCACACACCUGAGCACUUCCUCCCGUUGGCAAACAGAAGUUCAGGAUGAGACCCUGCUGGCCUGGUCCUGGCACAUCCUCUGCACUGUUGAAUCACUGGACUUACUGAUCUUAGAUGACCACCCCCUCCCUCACACCUGUGGGCAGGACAGAACAGCCUGGCGGGCAGAGGGCUACAGUUUAGCAUGGCCUUCUUGAGCUAGGGUGGAAUGGGGCAGGGUGCUCUGGACUCUUACCCCCUCCCCUCCCAUCUGUGGCUUGGCUCCGCUGUGGCCCUCCUGGCUGGGUCCCCUUGGUUUUUCGUGCUGGAACAUCCCCACCAGAGCCUCUCUGCCAUAACUGCCAGCUGCUCUCCCCGAGUGCUCAGCUGGCACAACACCUUUCCUUUCUCACCCAGAACUUAGAGACUGAUUUUUUGUUUCAUCUGCAUUUGGUCUUCUCUGUUUUGACUCUUUCACUGCAGUAACCUGGCUGUGGCUGCUCAGGUUCCCCUCCUCAUGCCCCUUGGUACCCUUCCCUGUCUGCUCUCCCAUGCCAUGUACACACCCACAACCCGUCCUUCCACUUGGAAUGUUUUUACCACCUAUCCUGAUCUUUGAAGGUAGGGUUAGGACUACUUAACCUCUAUUCCCACUCCCCUGCAAACUGGGGGUUGUGGGAAGUGAGCAGCCAUCUCCCUGUGUGAUUUUUUUUUUUUUUCCCUCUGAUUCACUUUGCCAUGUUUCCUUCACAUCCAGAUCCCUGUCGGUGUUAGUUCCACUCUUGGUCUUUCACGCUCCCCUUGCCUGUGGAACAUUGUCUGGUCCUAGCUGUGGUUCCCAUUGUUCCCCCUUCACCCUUCUCUGUUAACCUUGUGCCUGUCUUCUGUAUGAUCACAUCACCAAAAAGGGGGAGGGGGGAGAAGACUCUUUUUUUUUGGCCAUUUUGUAAUCGUAUAAAAAUAGUAGACAACUGCUUAAUGGUUGGGGUUUUUUCACAAUUUUCAACAUUAGUGAUUUUUUUUUUCUGUUUGCAAGUUAAAGGGUUUGUCAUUGUUUCUUUAAAAAAAAAUACAAUAAUGCACCAUAUCCCUAUGCAUAAAGUGCUUCUUCUAUUUAUAAGGUUGAAAAUUCUGAAUAACCCUUUUAGCAUUGAAAAAAAAACAAAAACAAAAAAUGAAAAAAAAAAACAACCUUGUAUUUUGUAAAUAUUUUCUUUUCCUGCUUUGGAGCUGUGUAAUGGCAGCGAAACAUGUAGCUGUCUUUGUUCUAUAGAAAUGCUUUUCUUCAGAGAAGCUGAUCUUUGUUAAUGUCUUGAUUCUGUUCGCAAAGCACAGACUAGUGCUUAAAAAAAAAAAAGAAGGAAA